CGUCGCCCGAGUUGUAUUCUGGAGAAGCGUCUUCCGCGUCGGACCGUGUACAAGUGCCUUGGAACAGGACGUCAUAGAGGGUGAGAAUCCCGUCUUUGACACGGACGCCCGAUGCUCUGUGAUGCGCUCUCGAAGAGUCGAGUUGUUUGGGAAUGCAGCUCAAAAYGGGUGGUAAAUUCCAUCUAAAGCUAAAUAUUGGCGAGAGACCGAUAGCGAACAAGUACCGUGAGGGAAAGAUGAAAAGCACUUUGGAAAGAGAGUAAAACAGUACGUGAAAUUGUUGAAAGGGAAACGCUUGAAGUCAGUCGCGUCUGCCGGAACUCAGCCUUGCUUCUGCUUGGUGCACUUUCCGGCCCGACGGGCCAGCAUCGGUUUCGAGCGGCGGACAAUGGCGAGGGGAAGGUGGCAGCUCCGGCUGUGUUAUAGCCCCUCGUCGCAAACGCCGCCCGGGACCGAG
This 457-nucleotide ribosomal RNA is filed under the name Xenasmatella alnicola. RNAcentral describes it as "Trechispora alnicola partial large subunit ribosomal RNA". The record is from RNAcentral. Lineage: Eukaryota; Fungi; Basidiomycota; Agaricomycetes; Xenasmatellaceae.